UACGUAGGGACCAAGCGUUGUUCGGAUUUACUGGGCGUAAAGGGCGCGUAGGCGGCAAUUCAAGUCAUCUGUGAAAUCUCCGGGCUUAACCCGGAACGGUCAGGUGAUACUGUUUUGCUAGAGUGCGGAAGGGGCAAUCGGAAUUCUCGGUGUAGCGGUGAAAUGCGUAGAUAUCGAGAGGAACACCAGCGGCGAAGGCGGCGCUCUGGGCCGGAACUGACGCUGAGGAGCGAAAGCGUGGGUAGCAAACAGG
Molecule: ribosomal RNA, 253 nt
Filed under: uncultured bacterium
Lineage: Bacteria
Description: partial 16S ribosomal RNA
Rfam family: Bacterial small subunit ribosomal RNA
Source: RNAcentral